CUUCGGUUGGAAGAGAUAUGUUUUAGCGGCGGACGGGUGAGUAACGCGUGAGCAACCUGUCCUUCACAGGGGGAUAAGACAGCGAAAGUUGUUCUAAUACCGCAUAAGACCACAUUUUCGCAUGACAGAGAGGUCAAAGGAGCAAUCCGGUGAAGGGUGGGCUCGCGUCCGAUUAGAUAGUUGGUGAGGUAACGGCUCACCAAGUCGACGAUCGGUAGCCGACCUGAGAGGGUGAUCGGCCACAUUGGGACUGAGACACGGCCCAGACUCCUACGGGAGGCAGCAGUGGGGAAUAUUGGGCAAUGGGGGAAACCCUGACCCAUGCAAACUGCCCGCGUGGAGGAAGAAGGUCUUCGGAUCGUAAACUCCUGUCCUAAGAGACGAGCAGGAGACGGUAUCUUAGGAGGAAGCCCCGGCUAACUACGUGCCAGCAGCCGCGGUAAUACGUAGGGGGCAAGCGUUGUCCGGAAUGAUUGGGCGUAAAGGGCGCGUAGGCGGCCGCACAAGUCUGAAGUGAAAGUCCCGCUUUCAAGGUGGGAAUUGCUUUGGAAACUGGCGGGCUUGAGUGCAGGAGAGGAAAGCGGAAUUACCGGUGUAGCGGUGAAAUGCGUAGAGAUAACUAGGAACAUCAGUGGCGAAAGGCGGCUUUCUGGACUGAAACUGACGCUGAGGCGCGAAAGCGUGGGGAGCAAUCAGGAUUAGAUACCCUGGUAGUCCACGCCGUAAACGAUGCCUGCUAGGUGUAGGAGGUAUCGACCCCUUCUGUGCCGCAGUUAACACAAUAAGCAUUCCGCCUGGGGAGACGGCAGCAAGCAGCGGAGCAUGUGGUUUAAUUCGACGCAACGCGAAGAACCUUACCAGGUCUUGACAUCCAGUUAAACUUGCAGAGAUGCAAGGUGUGCUUGCACAAACUGAGACAGGUGGUGCAUGGUUGUCGUCAGCUCGUGUCGUGAGAUGUUGGGUUAAGUCCCGCAACGAGCGCAACCCUUAUUUUCAGUUACUAACAGGUAGCGCUGAGGACUCUGAAGAGACUGCCGGGGACAACUCGGAGGAAGGUGGGGACGACGUCAAAUCAUCAUGCCCCUUAUGACCUGGGCUACACACGUGCUACAAUGGCCACCACAGAGAGGAGCGAACCCGCGAGGGGGAGCGGAUCUCAAAAAAGUGGUCCCAGUUCGGAUUGUGGGCUGCAACCCGCCCACAUGAAGUCGGAGUUGCUAGUAAUCGCGGAUCAGCAUGCCGCGGUGAAUACGUUCCCGGGCCU
RNAcentral lists this ribosomal RNA (1264 nucleotides) under uncultured bacterium. Its description in RNAcentral is "partial 16S ribosomal RNA". It matches the Rfam family "Bacterial small subunit ribosomal RNA", at positions 75 to 1381 of the family's 1533-position model. The record is from RNAcentral.